This 497-nucleotide ribosomal RNA is filed under the name uncultured bacterium. RNAcentral describes it as "partial 16S ribosomal RNA". It matches the Rfam family "Bacterial small subunit ribosomal RNA", at positions 28 to 507 of the family's 1533-position model. The record is from RNAcentral.
GAUGAACGCUGGCGGCGUGCCUAAUACAUGCAAGUCGAGCGAACGGACGAGAAGCUUGCUUCUCUGAUGUUAGCGGCGGACGGGUGAGUAACACGUGGAUAACCUACCUAUAAGACUGGGAUAACUUCGGGAAUCCGUAGCUAAUACCGGAUAAUAUUUUGAACCGCAUGGUUCAAAAGUGAAAGACGGUCUUGCUGUCACUUAUAGAUGGAUCCGCGCUGCAUUAGCUAGUUGGUAAGGUAACGGCUUACCAAGGCAACGAUGCAUAGCCGACCUGAGAGGGUGAUCGGCCACACUGGAACUGAGACACGGUCCAGACUCCUACGGGAGGCAGCAGUAGGGAAUCUUCCGCAAUGGGCGAAAGCCUGACGGAGCAACGCCGCGUGAGUGAUGAAGGUCUUCGGAUCGUAAAACUCUGUUAUUAGGGAAGAACAUAUGUGUAAGUAACUGUGCACAUCUUGACGGUACCUAAUCAGAAAGCCACGGCUAACUACGUG